AAUCAAUGAUUCAUUUGAACCAUUCUCUGAUAAAAAUUCGAGGUUUUCUAAGAUCGAAAGAUCGAUGAUUUUUUUUGGUUCUGAUAGGGUUCCUUCGAGUUUCUAUCUUCACGAUUUGUGACCGUUCCUUCUCUAUUGAACGGUGCAAUCGUUUAUUGUGAAGUUUUCGGAGAUUUUCCGGUGAGUUUUCAACCUCUAGG
This 200-nucleotide long non-coding RNA is filed under the name Nicotiana benthamiana. RNAcentral describes it as "long non-coding RNA (NBEN_LNC000632)". Lineage: Eukaryota; Viridiplantae; Streptophyta; Magnoliopsida; Solanales; Solanaceae. The record is from RNAcentral.